AUUGAACGCUGGCGGCAUGCCUUACACAUGCAAGUCGAACGGUAACAGGUCUUCGGAUGCUGACGAGUGGCGAACGGGUGAGUAAUACAUCGGAACGUGCCUAGUAGUGGGGGAUAACUACUCGAAAGAGUGGCUAAUACCGCAUGAGAUCUACGGAUGAAAGCAGGGGAUCGCAAGACCUUGUGCUACUAGAGCGGCCGAUGGCAGAUUAGGUAGUUGGUGGGAUAAAAGCUUACCAAGCCGACGAUCUGUAGCUGGUCUGAGAGGACGAUCAGCCACACUGGGACUGAGACACGGCCCAGACUCCUACGGGAGGCAGCAGUGGGGAAUUUUGGACAAUGGGCGCAAGCCUGAUCCAGCAAUGCCGCGUGCAGGAUGAAGGCCUUCGGGUUGUAAACUGCUUUUGUACGGAACGAAAAGCCCCGGGUUAAUACCCUGGGGUCAUGACGGUACCGUAAGAAUAAGCACCGGCUAACUACGUGCCAGCAGCCGCCGAGU
RNAcentral lists this ribosomal RNA (498 nucleotides) under uncultured bacterium. RNAcentral describes it as "partial 16S ribosomal RNA". It matches the Rfam family "Bacterial small subunit ribosomal RNA", at positions 30 to 523 of the family's 1533-position model. The record is from RNAcentral.